This 7324-nucleotide long non-coding RNA is filed under the name Homo sapiens (human). Its description in RNAcentral is "HSALNT0064688". Lineage: Eukaryota; Metazoa; Chordata; Mammalia; Primates; Hominidae. The record is from RNAcentral.
AUAAAACUGUUUCCUAGAUUUUUGGUGCAGAAUUAAAUUUUAGUUGCCCAUUGUGAAAGCUGCCUUAAUAACAUUGCCCUUUACGGACUGUUUCGUCUUACCUAUAUUUCUUGCCCAUUUCCCUGCCAGUAUUUCCUCUGCUCCUCUCAAAUCACAUUUUUGCAUUUGAAUUCAAGUCUCAGAGACCGCUUCUGGGAGAAAUACACAAAAACAACUCCCUAUUUUUGUUAUGAGAUGAGCAAUAGUUUAAUCUCAACCUUUACAAAGUCAUGAUAAGAAAAUCAUGGUUUAGUCACUCAUAUACAUAGAUGUUAAAAUUCUGAGCAAAAACUUAGCAAGAAAAAUUCAGCAACAUGUAGAGAGGAUAACACAAAAUCAUCAAGUUUUGUAUCUCAGGACUACAAGGUAGACUUAACACAUGAAUAGCAAUUAAUGUUAUUUGCUAUAUUAAAAUAUUAAGGAAAAUAAUUAUACACUAUAAUUGUUUAUUUAGAAAUAUAUAGUUAUAUAUAAGAAUAUAUAAUGCCACAAUUAUAUUAUUAAUUACAAAAUGAAGAAAAAAACUUUAAAAAUUUAAUAUGUAUUCAUGGAUUUAAAAUAUCUUAGCAAAUAGAAGAGAAAAAAUGUCCUCAAUUUGAUAAAGAAUAUCUUAAAAACCUAUAGCAACAAUGUACUUAGAGAGAUAAUAAUAGCUUUCUUUUUUAGAUCAAAAAUAUAAAAGGGUUUCUACUAUGACUAAUGCUACUCAUCAUUUUAUUGGAGAACCUAAACAGUGUAGUAGAGAAAUAAAAAGAACUAUAAGCUAUAGUGGUUGGGGUGGGGAGAGAAAGCAACAAAAUUUUAAUUAUUUGAAGGCAAUAGUUUGCAGAUAUAAAUUAAGUAGAUAGAUAAAUUAGAAGAAGGGAAGAUAAAAAUGUUGCUUCACAAAUAAUAUACAAAAGCAAAUUGUUUAUACAUAGGUACAAGAUUUAAAAAAUAAAAACUCAAACAAAAAUAUUUCAGUUAGGAAGACAUUUUUAAAACAUAAUGCACCAGAAAACAUCUAACCCUUAUGAAAAAAAUUAUAUAUUUUAUAGAGUGACAUUUUAAAUGACCUAAAUAAAUGAAGAGAUAUACCAUAUUCAUGAAUUGGAAGAUACGUGUAAAUAUGUCAAUUUUACACAAAUGUAUAUAUAGAUUUAUUCCAAUCCCAAUAAAAUCCCUAAGUUUGAUUUUUUAAGUUUGACCAACUAAGAUAUAAGUAAAUAAAUACACACACAGAGAUGGAGAGAGAGAGAGAGAGGCAGAAAGACAGAGAUGAAAACAGCUAAACUACUGUUAAAUAACAAAUUGGGAAAACAGGCUUUUUGGAUAUGAAAAAUGAUCUUAAAACCACUGUAACUAAGAUAAAGAUAAUCAGAUAGACCUGAGGAGCAUAACAGUGAUAAAACAGACCCACAUAAGCAUGGACACUUAAUAUAUGAAAUGUAUAUCAUAUAUGAAAACACUAAGGUGGCACCGCAGAUCAAAAGAAACAUUUCUGAAAAUUGGGUGUCCAUGUAGAAGAAAUAAAAUUGGGCUUCUACCUCCCACCACACAUGCAAAUCAAUUCCAGCUGAAUUAAAGACCAAAAUGUGAGAGGUAAAACCAUAAAGUGUUUAGAAAAUAUAGGAGAAUGUCUUCAUUUCUUUAGGGUAUCAAAGACUUCUUAAAAGUCAUAAAAUUUUUGUCAAAGACAUAAAAUUCUAACCAUAAAAAAAAGAAAAAAAGAGAUUGAGAGAAAGUGGAGGGGUGGAGAAGAAGGAAACGAGGGAGGAAAGAAAAAAGAAAUCAUGUAAAAUUAAAGAUUUCUAGUGUCCAUAAAUUUUAAUGCUAUAAAAGUGUCGGAAGUCUUUGGUUUUCAUCAGAAUAAUUUCCUCUGCUUUUUUUUUCUGCUAUAGGAAAUUAAAUAAAAUAUUAGUGACACUAAGAAAUGGUUUUUAUGUGAACUUCUGAGUUGUCUAAACCGUUAAGAGGAAAGUGUGGCCUUUAUAUAGCUGAUAUCUAUUGCUUUAGUCCACUGAGAAUACAUUUUAAGAAGCCUUAUAAUUUAAAAUGGAUUUAUUUUCAACUAUUAUUUCUUUUGAAUUAAAAUCUUUUCUAAGUAGUUCUUAUUUUUCAUUUUCUCACAACAUUUUGUGAAUUUGUGCUAUCAUUUGAGAACAAUUUAGAAACAUUUUUUAAAAACAAAGAAUUGGGGAUGCAGAAAUAAUGUAAAAGUAGAAACACAGCCAUAUAUGAUUAUAAUUUCUGUCAUAACAUUAUUAUUUUCUAAUUAUUGCACUAUUUGUGUAGAUUUCCAAAAGUUAUAUAGGAGUUUUCAAUGAAAAGGAUCUUACUUUGAUUAAAAAUCCCAGUCUCAAUUGUGAAAAUCUGCUGUGCUAUGUGGAUGGCUAAGCUUUUGGUAAUCUCCUAAACUUGGCUGAACUAGCCCAUGAGGCACACUCAGAGUUUACAAUGAGAUAGGUUUUGUCUAUUGGAUAAAUUUGUCCAUUAAGUACAAUUGCCUGUCAAGAAUAUAGAGAAAAAAAAAAACACCUUCCCUUCUAUAGAGAGAAUUACCUAAUAAACCCACUGUUCCUACUUUCUCUGAAGACUUUGAGGUCGAGGAGGCCACUAAUGAUUCCACUUUGACUGCAGAGAUUUGUCUUGGCAGGACUUCUAAAGAAACUCUUAAUCAUCUUCCUGCUUAUGGCUUUACCUGUUUCCUGAGUUUCAGAUCAGGUUGUAGGGUUUCUGAUGCAGACUAUUUAUUAAAGGAGUAGAAUUGUGUCUUCCUUUACUCCUUUGAAGUAAGUAGGGCAGAAAAAAAUUGAUCUUAAAUUCUCAAAAUGCCUUUUUUUUUUUACUUAUAUUUUACUUGAACCUCUGAAAAAGUUUCCUUCUGUUUUGGUGUGUCUUUUCUUCAUAUAACUGGCACCUGUUUCUAGUAUAUGCACCAUGGGAAGAUUGCUUUCAUGGAAAUUAAAUAAUACAAAAUAAGAUUAAAAUAAAAGGUUAAACUUUAAAGUUAGGAUAUAACAGGGAUAUGUAGGAUCAAAUUUAAGAGACAGGGUUGUUUUAAGGUGGGCAAAAAUGUAUUGUACUGAAUUACAUGGCAAUUUUAAAUCUAAAAUAUGAUGUAUAAGUCAGAAGACGGUUGGUGGGUUAAUCAUCCACGAAGACUGAGAAAAAGAAGAAUUAUAGAAGCAAAUGUUGGCAGUGCCUGUCCCAGGCAGCUAAACACUGCCAAUUCCUUGGCUUGGCAUGCCUAUAGUAGGGAAGAAGUUGCUUGUCAAGAAACCACUGGGUGUUUAAAAUGGCUUCAUAUUUAACAGAUAACAUGAUAUGGAUAUCUGGCUCUCUUGACAGCUCUAUUUCUAACAAAUAAUGAAUGACUUGGCUAACUGUCUCUGCCCACAUCAGGUUUCCGAGAUGCAAUGCUGACAGUUAGCUCUUAACCAAAUAUAUUUUCUCUGGUGGUAAGAACGCCAGACAGCAAAUAAAAUUUAGAAUGUCUGGUUACAUUUGAAUUCCAGAUAAACAAUGAAUAAUUUAGAGCAUAGUUAGACUAAAAAAGUAUUCGUUACUUGUCUAAAAUUCAAACUUAACUGGGCUUCCUAUAUUCUGCCUGGUAACUCAACCUGGUGAGAACCUAUGGCAGUGGCCAACUUGCCUAACUUACAAGACAUUGAUUGGUAAUACACCAGUACAAGGUAAUAUUUGAGGGGGAAGAAAUGCCAUAUACACAUAGGGCUUAUGAUUCUUUCCCAUCCGUCAUCUAAUUAGAGCUUCACAAUGAAGCCUGACCUGACCUGGUAUCCAUGACCACCAUGUGUUCAUUAUCAUGAGAACAAUGAGGCCCUCUGACUUCCAAUCCACCCUCUUCACAGCUGACCACCUCUCUUCCUAGAUGUCCUAUUUCACAUCAUUUCGUUAGCUGUAUGCUAAUGCAUUUUAUUUAUUGACUCUUACCUUGAAUGUUCUCUCUGAUCUCACCUUCUGAAAGCCAGUCAUUCCAUUUGCUUCCUGAGUAAUAAGGGCAUAUAUUGAUAGAUAAUACUUUUCAUGGAACUAUAACAAAUAGAAAUUGAGAUUCAGAAAUAAAUAUACCUCCAAGUAAACUUUUGAAUUAAUCAAAUCUUGGUUUGGCACAUUUUGAGUGUGGGUUUUUUUCUAAUUCAGUUCUUCCUUCCCUACCUUUCCCCAAUUACUGAAGGUUCCAAUAAGUAUUACUCCAAUUCCUCUUGCCAAACUUUCUUUCAAGAAAAGUCUCUUUAGCUCAAGUAACCUAAAGUUAAAAAGCACCCACAAUGACCUUAAGUUAAAUUAAUACACAUGGGCAGCUUCUAGGCAAGAAUAAUAUUGUAGUACUUUGCUAUUUAGGGUGGGAUCAUUUCAACUCCUUUGAAACGAUCAGCAUUCAACCACCAUGUAAGAGAGUUCCUGAAAUAUUUGUAAACUUAAAAAAAUUAUUUAGAUAAAUACAUAAACCAGACAGACAAAGAGACAGAAAGAUAAAAGAAUUACAAAGAAGAAGGCAAGGCAGGGAAGCCUGUCUAAAUGGGACGCAUGACACAGAAGAGAACAGUAUGAUUCAGCUGUUUUGCAUGAAGGUUAAAUUAUUAUGCAGCCAACAGGACUACUGAGAAGCAGGACUUGUGUCUUCAGUGUCCAAAUUCUGUCUCUGAUUCUAAUGACUCAUUUUGUGACUGCAUGUAACUUAUUACAUUCUCUUUAUUCUACUCUUACCUGCUGGAAAAGAAAUUAAAUACCAUACAAUUCACAGGCGAUUAUAAUCCUGAGUCAUUAAUUCAAUAAUUUAUAUAGAGAAAAUAUUAUUAGCUGGUAGAGAAGUGGUGACAAAAGUAAUUCUGAAAGGCAUAAUUUGGGAAUCUGGAAACAGCAAUAAAAUAGAAUGUGCAAGGCCAAAAUUUUGGUUUAAAAAAAAAAACACUUGGAAUCAAGAACUUGUGUUCAUGGAGACAUGGAAAAUAGAGAAUGGUUGCAGAGAGCAGGGACAAGUCUAAGCUGUGUUGUGCUGUGUAACAUGCAUAUUCUAGGGACACUGAAACCCCUUCCUACUCUGUUUACCCUCUACUUGCCACACACGUCAUUCUAAUAUGGACGUUAUAUCUUUCUCCUUGCCACCCUAAGCUUAAAACCUUUCCUCGGAUGAUUUGUGCUGAGACAGAAAUAAUUUCAUAAAUUGAAAAGGGUAUUAUUUUAUAAGCUGGCACCAGAGUUUAUUCUGAGAAAAGAAUACAUAUGGCUCAGUGUUUGAGAAAGAAAUGUGAGGCCAGAAAGAAUAGGAAGGAUACAACUAAACUAUUCUUCAAAAAAAAUGAGGUGCUGAGGUGACGGAGAAAUUCAGGAGGCAGGAGAAGAGGAAAACAGACUGGAGAAAAGCCAGUAUCCAAGUUGGCAGAAAAAACAGAUACUUUUAAAAAACUGAGACAGCUAAUAUUCAUUCUUAAGCUGUUCACAUUAUUGUGUUAUAAAACCAGCACACCAAGGCUUUUUAUGUUUUUAUCGUGUGUGGAAAUGAAGAAAAUGGCUAGGCAAACCUACAGUAGGCAGAACACAAAUAGCUGGUGGGCAAAGGUGAGAUGAUCCAUGAAUUGAAUUGAUCCAAAGGAAACAGACUUUUAAACUAGAAGUGACUAAGAAACACAUGAAUAUACCUCACCUCCUCGAGCAUUUCCAGAAUGAUUGGAAAGAAGGAUUUCUAUUACAAACAAAAGGAUUUGAGUCAAUGUUAUUUUCAUCUCUGCAGACUCUAGGAUUUAAUCUGGGCUAGCAGGCCCUUCCCUGGGGCUGUGUGAUGUGAGGUAGACAGCAAGUGACCUGACAUCUCCCUCCUCCCUCCUGCAUCUCCCCAAACAGUUCUCAUCUGAUCUGCUUCUCCUAGUUACAAUUCCAGAAAAGAUUUCCUUUUACCUUUUAAUGCAGCUGAGAAAAAAAUUAUGCUGGAAAGUCAUUCACCUAAAGUCUCACUCUUUACAGAGGUAUUUCUAUUUAAAAUAAAAAGUGAAUAAAAUGAUUGAGGCCUUAUGGAAUAAUUUCAUGAGAAAGUCUUUCUAGAGAGUUGGAGGAAGUUGAAGAAGCGGGAAUGGGUUGGUGCCUGAAGAUAGUAAACUAGGGAAGGAAUUCAUAGUAUAAAGCCUAGAAUUUGAAGUUCUCUCUAAUAGUCCAAGACCUUCCCUCCAGGUGACAUUUUCUAAUGAUAUUUUGAAGAAAGAGAGAAUAGAUUUUUAUUGAGAAAAACUACACAAUUUGAAUUCUAUUGGUAACCUUUAACUUUGUACUCUGCCAUCAGAAUAUCUCAAAGACCUUAAAGCCUAAUAAAAAGAUUAAAAUAUUUAAAUACCGACCACAAAGACAGAAAAAGCAUAGUUUACACUGAGGUUUUUUUCUUUAAAAUAAGAGGCAUUACAUUUUGCUGUGCAAUGCUAAUAAUUUCUUAAAUGGAAUAUAAGAAAGAGGUACCAAGAAACUCUUCUCUUAAGAAAAAGUAAAGUUUUUCACUUAAAAAUUAAGAUUUUAUUCUUAUUUCUUCACUUCCUUAAAAUUACUUUUUAAAAGGUUACUUAAUAUUUUUUAAACUUCCUUUUCAAAGGUGAUACCUUUGAGAACUGAGUUCAGGAUUCUCAAAUUUGUAUUUUAUCAUUUGGUGCUAGGAGAGACCUCCUUUGCUUUAAAAAAAAUGAUUUUUAAUGACAAUCUCACAGCUCAUUUUUAAAUAGCCUCUUUCCGUUUCUGAGGAAUUGCUUUGGAGUUCAAACAAAAUGAGUCACCCAAGGAAAAAAAAUUCACAAGCCAUUUUUAUGCAUUAUACAGAGCAGAAAUUUAAUUUAAUGGCACUGAUAUAGAAGAGCUCCUUCAAGUAGCAAUUUAAGAAAUCUGUUCCUUUACUUUUAUGACAGCAGCAAGUUCUGUUGUCUAUGCACAUGAAAUAACAAUGAAUGGUAAUUGAUCCUGGUGCUCCUAGAAGUGUGGAAAGGGGCUGCUGGUGGCCAGGAAAGGGGGAUCAACCUAAUACCAUAGGGAAAAAUAAUUCUACAAUGUAAUUUGGGGGGUUUCUUUACAGUUCUUCCUCUCUCCUAGCUGGGAUUGGAGCAGUUUCAGUUCUCAUUUUCUUCCUUACCCUCUGCCUUUGAUUUGAAGAAUUUUCCUAUGGGAAAAUAGAGGGCAGCAAGUAAGGAACUUGUAACUAUUGAGACUUCCUUUCAAAAUUUAAACUGUUAUCCCUGUCAUAUAUCUGCUCCCUUCAAGUUGCAGAGAAUUUAGGUUACAGUCUUGAUUUAGGUCCAGAUGAGCCCUUUGU